GCCUGGGUGGCUCAGUCGGUUGAGCGUCCGACUUCAGCUCAGGUCAUGAUCUCGUGGUUCGUGGGAUCGAGCCCCACGUCGGGCU
This 85-nucleotide transfer RNA is filed under the name Felis catus (domestic cat). It matches the Rfam family "tRNA". From Rfam's summary of the family: Transfer RNA (tRNA) molecules are approximately 80 nucleotides in length. Their secondary structure includes four short double-helical elements and three loops (D, anti-codon, and T loops). The record is from Rfam by way of RNAcentral. RNAcentral also lists the same sequence under 1 other name. Lineage: Eukaryota; Metazoa; Chordata; Mammalia; Carnivora; Felidae.